AGAUUGAACGCUGGCGGCAGGCCUAACACAUGCAAGUCGAGCGGCAGCACGGGUACUUGUACCUGGUGGCGAGCGGCGGACGGGUGAGUAAUGCCUAGGAAUCUGCCUGGUAGUGGGGGAUAACGGCUCGGAAACGGACGCUAAUACCGCAUACGUCCUACGGGAGAAAGCGGGGACCUUCGGGCCUCGCGCCAUUAGAUGAGCCUAGGUCGGAUUAGCUAGUUGGUGAGGUAAUGGCCCACCAAGGCGACGAUCCGUAACUGGUCUGAGAGGAUGAUCAGUCACACUGGAACUGAGACGACGGUCCAGACUCCUACGGGAGCGAGCAGUGGGAAUAUUAGGACAAUGGGACGAAAGCCUAGACUCCAGUCCAUGCCGCGGUGUGUGAAGGAAGGUCUUACGGUAUU
This 407-nucleotide ribosomal RNA is filed under the name uncultured soil bacterium. RNAcentral's name for it is "bacterial SSU rRNA". It matches the Rfam family "Bacterial small subunit ribosomal RNA", at positions 26 to 426 of the family's 1533-position model. The record is from RNAcentral.